Xenopus tropicalis (tropical clawed frog) is the source of this 827-nucleotide long non-coding RNA. RefSeq lists it as uncharacterized. The record is from RefSeq and is a predicted model, not a curated record. Lineage: Eukaryota; Metazoa; Chordata; Amphibia; Anura; Pipidae. The transcript has 2 exons.
CAUUCUGGUGAAUACCCAUAAGUAUUUGAGGCUAGCUGGAAAAUAAAAUGUCACCAGAACAGCCAGUUACCAAAUGGUGACCCGCCCUCACGUUUCUCAUUGGAUGAGGGCGUGAACUUUGUAAACUGGGGGCAUGAACCGUGUAAACUGUACAUCAAUGGCCCAGACAACUGGGAAGAUAUAUGCCUUUGGGGACUGAGCUGCUCGGGAGGUAUAUGUCGUUAUUUCUCCAUCCCCCCGGAAACAGGAAUUACAUAGGAUCAUUCUGAUGGUGAUGCAUUGUUUAGAGGAGAACUAAACCCUAACCCAUCUACAGCCCUGCUCCAACCCCCUCCACUGCCCCCCCUCCAAGCUGCAUCCUGCAACAGCUCUUCUGUCCCUGUGUGCUGAAUUGACAUAAAUCUACUCAGCUGAGUUCAAAGGUGUCAUCUUCCCCUUUCUUCUGAUCUUGCGGGAGCAUGCACAGCUGAAUCUACUUCCUGAAUCAGCUUUGACUUGCAUGCAAGAUCCAUAUUGGAGAACUGUAAGAAGAGGUCAGUAUUCAGGAGAAGAUUGUUCCCAACCUGGACCUGCUGUGAGUCAGGCCCGCCACUCUCUAAAAAACUGUUGCACUGGCUCAAACUCACCUGACCCAGGCCUGGAUAUAUGCAACACAGAGAGUAUAAAGUUCACUUCUUGGUUCUAAUUAUAUCUAGGAGGUAAUAGCAAUACAAAAAGUGUGAUAAGAAUGUACAGUGCACCAGGUUUAGCAAGCAUUUGAAAUCCUGUCAUGCAGCUGUAGCAACAUCCUCAAUCAACCUGGACUUUUAAUUCUUUAUAAUUAUUAA